AUGUGGGCCCUCAACAUGAAGGCCGGCGGGCCGUGCCUCACGCCGAUUCGCCCCGCCCCCGCCGCCCGGGCCGGGAAGCCCUUCGCCGCCGCCGGCAAGGCGGGCCCGUGGUCCGCGUGGCGGAGGCGCGGCCUGGCGGUGAGGCCGCUUGUGGCGGUGCGCGCGUCGGGGAGGAGAGGCCAGGACGGGGCCGGCGGCGGCGGCGGCGACGAGGAAGCCGAGAGCAAAGCAUCCUCUUUCGGAAGUGGUGAUGCAUCUGUUCCAACAGGAGAUCGCUCUGAUGGAUUGAGCGAACCACCUGAUGAAUUAAAAUCCACUGAGCCAAUUAAUAUUUCGAACAGCAAUUACUGGAGAGAUGUCAGAGCAAAUCUUGUGCGUCGGGAACAGGAGCUAUUGGUAGAUCCAAGUGUUCCUGCAGAGUCAAAGGCGUCCUCUGGAGAAGCAGUACACCAGCUUCCUCAGAAGUGGGCUCACCCUAUUACAAUGCCGGAGGCAGGGUGUGUCUUGGUAGCUACUGAGGUGCUCGAUGACGACAGCGUCUUUGAAAGAACUGUUAUUCUCCUGCUCAGACUUGGGUCGAGAGGUACCUUUGAUGGCCCAUUUGGGGUCAUCCUAAACCGUCCACUUUACACGAAGAUCAAGAAUGUGAAUCCAUCAUCAUUCCAAGACCAAACAACCCCUUUCGGCGACUGCGCCCUCUUCUUCGGAGGCCCCGUUGACAUGAGCAUGUUCUUGGUCCGUACUAAAGACAGCUCACGUCUGAAGGGGUUUGAGGAGGUGAUACCAGGCAUCUGCUUUGGCUUUCGAACGGAGCUGGAGAAGGCUGGUGUUCUGAUGAAGAGUGGUGCUAUCAAUACCGAGGACCUGAGAUUCUUCGUGGGGCAUGCAGCCUGGGAUUACGAGCAGCUCCUGAGCGAGAUCCGGGCGGGAUACUGGGCUGUUGCUUCCUGUAGCACAGAGCUGAUCAGCGACGCGGUGUCAACAGAUCCUUCCUGUCUCUGGACCGAGAUACUGCAGCUGAUGGGAGGGCAUUACUCGGAGCUCAGCCAGAAACCGAAGCAAGACAGCUCGUAG
RNAcentral lists this ribosomal RNA (1074 nucleotides) under Triticum aestivum (bread wheat). Its description in RNAcentral is "partial small subunit ribosomal RNA". The record is from RNAcentral. Lineage: Eukaryota; Viridiplantae; Streptophyta; Magnoliopsida; Poales; Poaceae.